UAAGCUGACACGCCGCGAUUUAACUGGAAUAUUGUUAAAAGCGGCGUUAAACCCAACUCUCUCACACUCAACAUUUAAACGGUGGCACGAAGAACGCAAGUCACGGUCAAUUGCGGACAAUUUGGAAUUACCGCAAAAGUGCUUGACAGAGGAUAUAGUCGAAAUGAGCCUAUCUACUAUGAACACCGCUUUCAAAUAUUUCCUUUUUGAGGCGAGGAAACAGGACGGCACCCAGUACAUGGCGGAUACUAUACAUGGACUGUUUACCGCUCUUCAGAGGGGCUUGAGGCUUAAAGGGCGAAAGAACAUUAAUUUGUUCGAGGAUCAACAGUUUGAAGAGAGCAGAACAUGUCUGGACGCUUUAAUGAAGGAACUUUCUAAAAAAGGACUGGGCUGCUCUGCCAGGAAGAAAACUGAAACUAUAUCAAUGGACGACGAAUCUUACCGGUAAGUAAAGUAAUUCACACAGUUGUUUUUCUUUAUAUCUUCGAAAAUCACUUUUACAAAUACAGUAAACUACGGUUAUAACGAACACGCUUAUAACGAACUGACGGAUAUAACGAACUACGUUUUUGGUCCCGACUAUUUGCUGGAGUUAUGCAGUAUAUAUGCUUAUAACGAACUACGGUUAAAACGAACUAAAAUUAGUAGUCCCUUUGAGUUCGUUAUAACCGUACUUUACUGUAGUAUAUACUAAAUCAUUGGAAUUUGUUCAUUCACAUAUAAAAUUGAUAUAAUGUGUGAACCUUUUUGAACACAAAAGUUUAACAGUUUGUUGAAAUAAUUAACUGAAUUUUCAUUAUUGUUCAUAUUUGCCGUUGUCUGAAAUACACAUUUUCAAAACAUUUACACAAGUUUGCAUUUCGCACUGCGAGGAGGAAGAGAGCACAGAGCGCUGAGGCUGUUCUCGAACCCCCAAAUAACAGGUCCCCACACUGACGAUAAUGGCAGAAAGUAUCUUCUCUACACGGAAGACGCGUCAAAGACUAAUCACGGCGGCCUGAAGCACAGGAAGCUGGUACCGAAACAAGUUCGAGCGUAUGAGAACACGGACAACCCUAAAAGAUGUUUUGUGCGUCUUUUUGAAAAGAACAGGUCUUUGUGUAAACCUGGUCAACAUACUGAAUACUUCUACUUCACUCCAAGAAGGACUAGAACGUCGAAAGACUGGUAUACUGCAAAUGCCAUCGGCCACAACACCUUACAAGUUACCGUCAAAAGACUGUGCGAGACGUCCGGUAUUCAGGGCAUGAAGACAAACCAUUCCUUGAGAGCCACGGCAGCCACUCGAUUGCAUCAAGGUGACGUUGAUGAACAAAUGAUUUGCGAAAUUACCGGACAUCGGAGCGACGCCGUUCGAAAUUACAAGAACUUCUGACAUCCAAAAGGCAACGGUCUCUGACAUACUUAGUAUGUCAAAAAAAAUGAACUCGCUAUCACGUGAAGAAGCUGAUCCGAUAAGAGCAGAUGACCGAAGACCUGAAGACAAACUCAAUCGAACUGUGACGCUCAAUUUCAAUUUCAACUAAUAUCAACAAAUAGUUGAGCCAUGUUCUGUUGUUUUUUUCAUGCAGAAAGGUAAUUCAAUACAGAGGGUAUUCUUCGGGACAAAAACCAGGCUUUCAGUAGAAAAUCUCCCGGGAUUUCUUGCAGAAAGCCCGGGGCUUCCCCUAGGAAUGCCCGGGGAUUACCCUGGGUUUAUGCCCGGGGCUUAUCCUAGGAAUGCCCGGGGCUUACCCUAGGAAUGCCCGGGGAUUACCCACGGUAUAUGCCCGGGGCUUACCCUGGGCUUACCCUGGGAAUACCCGGUAAACUACCAGUAGAGGUUUAGUCGGUAAAAGAAGACCCCGGCGAGACAAUAGUGACGUCACUAGAGGUUUAUAGUACCCACCCGAACCGAGUACCCAAGUUACCCGUCCCAGCCCUAGUAGAUAUAACAGUUUAUUUCGGCAUGAUCUAACGAAAGCUGGCCAUGCGUGACAAACUCGAAGUCAUUCAAAACAUUUGAUACGCCGUGUAACACAACACGUUCGAAACUCAUGGAAAUCCACGAACAACUUCCUUGCAGGUCGCCACGCGCAAGGUCAAGGUCUACCAGCUAUAUCCUUGCCCUGUGUGAACCAAAACGAUGACAAUAAUUAAUGUCUGUCAUUUACCGACCCCCCGUUUCUUUGCUAUCAUCUUCUCUCUUCUAUUAAGCCUCACCAACGUACCCUCGGGGCAUCGUGUUUUAGCCUGCCGCCCGUCUUCACCCCCCUCCCUCCCCUCGUAACGUCCCAUCGUAUUAACGAAGCUUGUCAUCCCACGUGGGAACCCCAUCUUGUCUACCUGCCCUGUUGACAGUUUGGAGCAGGCUUGGACUAUUCCUAGUGUUAUACGACAGGCCUCGUUGAUUUUAUCGUGGGCAAUGAGUUACAGGUAUGAAAACACAAGUCUAUCAAUACAGGCAGUACGAGAGCUGAAAACGAGACUAGAAUAUACAUAGCAUGCAUAACCACGCCUACCUGUCC
Haliotis rufescens (red abalone) is the source of this 2510-nucleotide long non-coding RNA. RefSeq lists it as uncharacterized. The transcript is spliced from 3 exons. NCBI's taxonomy places the organism in Eukaryota, Metazoa, Mollusca, Gastropoda, Lepetellida, Haliotidae. The record is from RefSeq and is a predicted model, not a curated record.